RNAcentral lists this ribosomal RNA (612 nucleotides) under Triticum aestivum (bread wheat). RNAcentral describes it as "partial small subunit ribosomal RNA". The record is from RNAcentral. Lineage: Eukaryota; Viridiplantae; Streptophyta; Magnoliopsida; Poales; Poaceae.
AUGCAGGUGCCCAAGUCGAGGAUCCCUUUCUGCCCAGCUUGUGGAAGUCCGACGAAAUUGGCCGUACCAGACGGGGAUGAGAAGAUGAGGGCUGUCUGUUCUUCUUGUGGGAGAGUGCACUACGAGAACCCCAAAAUGGUUGUGGGUUGCCUUGUGGAGCACGAUAACAAGGUCCUCCUUUGCAGAAGAAAGAUUGAACCGGCUUAUGGCCUUUGGACUCUUCCUGCUGGUUAUUUGGAAGUCGGAGAGUCUGCGGCGGAAGGAGCCUCAAGGGAAACGUUGGAAGAAGCUUGUGCAGAUGUAGAGAUAGUCUCACCUUUUGCUCAGUUGGAUAUUCCGCUAAUUGGCCAAAGUUACAUUAUUUUCCGAGCAAGAAUGAAGACCCCCAGUUUCUCACCUGGAUCCGAGUCGCUAGAAUGUGAACUUUUUGCUCUGGAUGAUAUACCAUUUGAUUCUCUAGCAUUUUCUUCAAUCAUCGUCACUUUGAGAAUGUAUAUUGAAGAUGUCAAGGCUGGAAACAUCAAAUUCCAUUAUUGCACAAUAAACAAGAGGAUCGGGGCCGGCCCUUCGGAUCUCCGUAGCUUUGAUAUCGACAACCAUUUAGCCGUGUGA